This 330-nucleotide ribosomal RNA is filed under the name uncultured eukaryote. RNAcentral's name for it is "partial 18S ribosomal RNA". It matches the Rfam family "Eukaryotic small subunit ribosomal RNA", at positions 1470 to 1796 of the family's 1831-position model. The record is from RNAcentral.
CCCUUAGAUGUCCUGGGCUGCACGCGCGCUACACUGAAAGUUACGGAUUGACUUUUUACCUUGUCCGAAAUGGUCCGGGUAAUCACCUAAAAGCUUGUCAUAAUUGGAAUGGAUUAUUGUAACUAGUAAUCCUGAACGAGGAAUUCCUAGUAAGUCCCAGUCAACAGCUGGUACUGAUUACGUCCCUGCCCUUUGUACACACCGCCCGUCGCACCUACCGAUUGGAUGGUCCGGUGAAGCCUCGGGAUUGUGGUUCUUGCCGCUUUAUUGUGGCGUGACCGCGAGAACUUGUCUAAACCUUAUCAUCUAGAGGAAGGUGAAGUCGUAACA